Molecule: long non-coding RNA, 3822 nt
Organism: Oryza brachyantha (malo sina)
Lineage: Eukaryota; Viridiplantae; Streptophyta; Magnoliopsida; Poales; Poaceae
Exons: 3
Source: RefSeq, a predicted model, not a curated record
CCCUGCCGUCUACUUCCCUGGUACGUUCCUUCUCACUUCCUCCUCCCGAUCCCCUUUCUGCUCCUCGUCUUUGCCGCUGCUCCCCACCGCCUGCGCCGCCGGUGGCGCAGCACGAUGCCGUCCUGCCGCUGCUCCCCACCGCCUGCGCCACGGCACGACGCCGUCGGUGCACGCCCCAACUUAUCCGGGGAGGUCGUCUAGCACGACCGUGGCAUUGGCCUCCCACCCGGCGCGCCGCCGCUGCACCGCGUUGCCCAUGAAAGACUGAGCCAGCACGAUCUGUUUGCCCUGCCGUCUGGUAGCUUGCUACGUAGGUUUGUUCUCCACUUUUUCCCCUCCCGAUCUCUUUUUCUGAGACAUGUUUACUUAAUGAAAGAGGCUCCAGUCCUUAUAAAUAGGGCCAAAUAACCUGCCCUAAGAGCUAAGAUUGAAUUACUACUGGCAGUUUCAGCAAACAUUUCAGACUAGACUGCAGAAUUUUUAUCCCUUCACCAAGGAAAGGUUCAGGAGCUGCAAACUUGAUCUUUCUGUUCUUCCUGGACAACUUGACCAAUUUGUACAAGGUACAAGUAACUUUGCAUAUCGAAUUACUUGAUCUGAAGUGCAGAUCAAUAUUUAAUCACGUAUGUUCUCUGAUUUCUUCACAUGACGGUUCUGCCUACUGUGACCAUAUCUUAGUUUACCUGGUGGAGAUUAGAAUCAUGUUGUCACAGUAAAGUGGAUAGAAGCAAUAUACCAUUCAUCUCAAAUAUCAGGCACAUUGGUACUUCUGUUUGAAUACAGUCAUCAGGCUUCAGAACUUGCCAGCAAUAUUUGAAACAAAUAAAAGUGAGUAUGUUGGAUGACAUCAGCUAUUUGAAACAAAUAUUUGUGUACGAGAUCAAACCUAUUAUUACCUAAUUCAGUGUUCUAUAGUUGACAACAUAGUUAUGCUAAUUUUACUUCAUUUAUAUUGCUGGCUGCCCGCGGCAACACGCGGGGCUCUUACUAAUUUCUCUAAAGUGCAGCAGCGAAGCAACAGUGAUGUGCGCGAAUAGUGGCUUUACAACAACAGAACAUGGUGAAACCUUUAGUCCCGUCAUAUUCGACGAAGACACCAGAAAAUUGAGUAUACUGUAGCUUAAUCCCCUUAAUCUCAUUUAAAAAAUAACCCGAACAUGAAACUUUUAUGGUGUAGAAAAAUCCAAAGUUCAUAUAGAAAAUUUAAAAAUAAUUAAUACGUAGUGAAGAUUCGUCUAUAAGUGUAUUUUAGAAACAUCUUAUAGUCAAAGAUAAGUAAAAGUAAGAGGAAAAAUCGAUGUAUAAAUCUAUUAUAUAUAUAUCUAUAUCUAUCUUUAUCUUUGCUACUUUUACUUUAAAGAGAGAUUCGUCCGUCCUCCGUCCGUUCACCCUCUUUCCCAACUUCGUACAGCCAAAAAAAAAAAAUCACGCCCACGCAAAGGAAAAGGAAAAAGAAAAAAACCCGCACGAAACGCACCCAUGACGCUUGGCCCCACCAGUCCGCCGCCUAACCACCAAUGUCCCCAUACGAACAAGCCAGUCACGCACGCAAAAAAAAAACGCAUCUCCAAACGCGCACGCCGCCACCCUAGACGUUGUUUGCCUCGCGAAAGGAACCGUAGCUGGGUGGUUAUAAAAGUCUCAGUAGCAUUUAAGAUUAUGCUUUCUGUAGUAGGCGACGUACCUGUCGAUAGCGAGACGGCUGUAGUGAUUUCGUCAAUCUCUUCAGAAUAUGCUGACCAGACUUCGAAAAUGCUCAUAGGGAUAGGAUUUACAUAAGUACGUCUCAGAAGAGAGUGUGCGUGCGUCGUGAGCUUCUAAAAAAGACAUAGUCUGCCUCCACCUCCGCCGCCGUCCUUCGCUGCCUCCGCCACCGCCGUGCGCCGCCGCAUCCGCCUCCUUCACCACCGCCGUGCACCGCCUCCACUGCUGUUGUGCGCCGAAAGGGAGGGGAGGGGGAGGAGGAGGCGGCGGCGGUGGAGGGCAUGUAGCGUCCGCCGUGAGGAGGAGAGGGCGGCCACCAUGGGAGGGGGAGAGGGCGGCCACCAUGGGUUCUUGACACCGUUUUCGUCGCUCACCCCCGCUAACGCCUCUCACCGCUGCCGCUCGCCAGCGCCCGCGUUCUCCGGCGACGCUCACAACCGCCACGAUGGUGCCAUCCCUAGACGGAGCCUCGGCGGCCGCGGCGAUGGCAAAGGGGUGGGGCACGUGUAGCGACUGGCCCUCCUCCGCCUCGGCGUGGUUCUGGUGCAUGGAGGCCGUGGUGUAGAACAUCGCGGUGGCCGUGUUCGCCGCGGAGCGUUGGUGGCGGCGCAGCGCCGCUCCUCCCAUGGGCGGGUAGUCGUGGGAGUGGGACGUGUUGGUGGGGACGAGCAGGGGGAGGAGGAGGAGGAGAGAGAGGCGGAAAAGGAGCGCCAUGGAGGGUGGCUUACUCGAGAGAGCCCCGGCCGCCGACGCUCGCCCCUGACGCCGUUGCCGCUGCUCGCUCGCCGACGCCUCUCACCGCCGUAGCUCGCGAGCGCCUGCACUGUCCGGCGACGACGUUCGCCUCCGCCGUUGCCGCCGCUCGCCCCCGUCGUCGUCGCUGCCGCCUCUCGCUAGCGAUCACGCUAUCUGCCCCCAACGCCUCUCGCCAGCACUCGCACAUUCCACCACGAAAAAAAAACUUCCCACGACAUCGCACAUCCCACCAACGUACCCAGCCGAGUCCACCGCCUCCGCCGCGCCCGCACAGAACUAGGCCCCGAGCUGAACGGGACUACGCACGGUGACGAAGAGCUGCAGGCCAAGCCCCAGUGCCGCGACAGGGCCGGUGGAUCCGGCGACCUCCCAUUCUACGUCUUCCUGCGAGAGGGAGCUGAUGGCGAUGGCAAGAAGGUGGACCUGCGAUGCCCCAAUGCGGCCAACAUGUUCCACGCCUACAUCGAGCGCUGCAUCGCCAAGAUGGCCAAGGUCAGCCGCUCGUCGGAGGGAGGGAAGUCUCCCAUGUCCCUCUUUUCCCGCCAGUCACGCCGGUCCUGCUCCUCCUUUGAAGAUGGCAGCGUGAAGUCAGGGAGCAUCAAGAAGGUGGAUUGUGCCGCCAAGAUGGAGGAGAUGGAUCGGCAGAAGACUGAUAAGAAGUCGUCGUCACACAAGAAAUACGAUACUGCAUGAACAUUUCUUAUAAUGCAUCAUAGAAUUUUCAGUUCAUUUUUCUCAUUGUGUUUUCUUCUUCUAGAGAUUUUUGCAUAGUCAUCAGGAGUUGUAUCUAGAGAAGUCGGGGACGGGCAGACAACCUCCGGUUGAUCUUGGGUGAGAAACUCAUAAUUUACACCAUUUUGGCAUGUACUUUGCUUAUAUAGUUAUAUGCUCUCAUCUUCUCCUACUCCAUAGGAUGAACUGCAAACUAUUGUUGUUACAUUUACCUACUUUUUGUGAUUUUGACAUUUACUGCAAGCUGAAAGGGCGUACCAAUCUUUUAAUAGAUACUCGAUUGUCCCAGUUAAAUUUUUCCACGUCUGAUCUCAGAGAGGACAAGCUUGUUGAGUUAAAGCAUUUCCUGUCAACAAAGAUUGUUUAAAUACUGUUAGAAUUAUUAAAAUUUCAUCUGAGCGAAUUAAAAAGGAGGAGAAAUUUUGAACUUGCUUUUUUUUUUCCUGCUCAGAGAUUAUGAAAUCUUUCUUCUUCAGAUUAUACUGGGCCCGUAUCAAAUCUUAUACAUGGUCAGCUUUUGAUUUGAAAAAAAAUUGCAUUUGUUGCUCUUGUAACAUCUAUUUUGUAAUUACAUCACCAUUAGAAAGUGCUAUCAGCAUGUGCUGCAUGUCAUUCUUGUAGGAGAGUAGA